GAUGAAGAACGUAGCGAAAUGCGAUAAGUAAUGUGAAUUGCAGAAUUCAGUGAAUCAUCGAAUCUUUGAACGCACAUUGCGCCCGCCAGCAUUCUGGCGGGCAUGCCUGUUCGAGCGUCAUUUCAACCCUCGAGCCCCCCCGGGGGCCUCGGUGUUGGGGGACGGCACACCAGCCGCCCCCGAAAUGCAGUGGCGACCCCGCCGCAGCCUCCCCUGCGUAGUAGCACACACCUCGCACCGGAGCGCGGAGGCGGUCACGCCGUAAAACGCCCAACUUUCUUAGAGUUGACCUCGGAUCAGGUAGGAAUACCCGCUGAACUUAAGCAUAUCAUAGCGGAGGA
This 341-nucleotide unclassified non-coding RNA is filed under the name soil metagenome. RNAcentral's name for it is "partial contains 5.8S ribosomal RNA, internal transcribed spacer 2, and large subunit ribosomal RNA". The stretch from base 1 to 120 matches the Rfam family "5.8S ribosomal RNA", at positions 35 to 154 of the family's 154-position model. The record is from RNAcentral.